Molecule: ribosomal RNA, 459 nt
Filed under: uncultured bacterium
Lineage: Bacteria
Description: partial 16S ribosomal RNA
Rfam family: Bacterial small subunit ribosomal RNA
Source: RNAcentral
GAUGAACGCUGGCGGCGCGCCUAACACAUGCAAGUCGAACGGCACCCCUCCUCGGAGGGCAGCGAGUGGCGAACGGCUGAGUAACACGUGGAGAACCUGCCCCCUCCCCCGGGAUAGCCGCCCGAAAGGACGGGUAAUACCGGAUACCCCGGGGUGCCGCAUGGCACCCCGGCUAAAGCCCCGACGGGAGGGGAUGGCUCCGCGGCCCAUCAGGUAGACGGCGGGGUGACGGCCCACCGUGCCGACCACGGGUAGCCGGGUUGAGAGACCGACCGGCCAGAUUGGGAGUGAGGCACGGCCCGGGCUCCUACGGGAGGGAGCAGUGGGGAAUCGUGCGCAAGGGGGGGAACCCUGACGCAGCGACGCCGCGUGCGGGACGGAGGCCUUCGGGUCGUAAACCGCUUUCAGCAGGGAAGAGUCAAGACUGUACCUGCAGAAGAAGCCCCGGCUAACUACGUG